Meleagris gallopavo (turkey) is the source of this 361-nucleotide non-coding RNA. The record is from RefSeq and is a predicted model, not a curated record. Lineage: Eukaryota; Metazoa; Chordata; Aves; Galliformes; Phasianidae.
UGGAGAGUUCCCAAGGUAACAGGCUCCCCUACAAAAACCUGCUGGUCAAUCAAAGGACAUGAACUGUUUUGGCUGGUUUGCAAAGACAUUUCAAGAACGGUUUGCAAAGACAUUUCAAGAACGGUUUGCAAAGACAUUUCAAGAACAGGUCUGCAGAAACUGGUGCCACAAAGGCAAGGUCCCCGAGUGACCAGGCAGACAACAGAAGAACAAGAGUCAGGUUUUGAUGAAUAACAGAGAAAGCAGAACAUACCCAUAAGCACUGAAGUCCAGCAGUGGAAGAACUGUGUGACAUGGACCACAGCCCUGUGACAUUACAAGCAUGUAUUACAGCUGCCAGAUGGGCUCAGCUGACUCAUGG